UGAGAAGUGAGAACAGGGAACAUUGGAAAUAUGAGUCUGUUGGUAAACGUAUUCAUUUAUUGAAAAUGGAAAAAAUCGAAAGAGGAAAAUGAAAAAACUAAAGUACCUUGUUUCCAUUCGGCAGUUUACAGCCCACGGAUUUCUGUUCAUUAAUUGUGUGGGUGCAGGUUACUUGUCUGUGGAUGUGUGCAGCUACCCCGAAAAAAAUCAAGUGUUGACUUAAGAUUGGUAAUAGAUAACAGGAUUAUCCCCGAAGUUGUUUUCUUCAAAAAAUCUUUCUCUAUCUGAUUCAGUAUUAGAUUUUCUAUUACUUGCAACUAAUGAAAUCUGGAAAAAACUUAUUCAAUGCUUUGACUUAGACUAGCAUGUCGAUGCAUUAAAUGCUUUGACCCAAUUCAUGCUUUUUUUCUUUUCUGUUGUUCUAUAUAUUUCUCAGUUCCUUGACGAUUGACCUUGCAUAAAACUUCAGGUUCUAGUUUGCAUCCUUCCAUGGGUCGCAAUAAGUGUGUGAUGGAGAAAAUUGAAGAUCCAACAUCCCGUCAACGGACCUACUCAAAGUGCAAAGAUAGUUUUGUUAAGAAGGCAAAAGCGUUGGCUACUUUAUGUGACACAGAUGUUGCUUUUUUAAUGUUUUCUCCAACCGGUCAAGUGACCAGCUAUUCUAGCAGAGGAAGUGUUGAGGAUGUCAUGCUCCGUAUUGUGAACAAUCCUGUACUGAACAGGGGACCCAUUUCAAAUGAACAGCAUCUGAGGCAGAGUCUCACACAAGUCAAAAUAUGAAGGACAAAUGGUUGAAAAGAUUGCUGUGUAUGCCACUCUCCUUUUGCACUCCUUUUAUAUGUAUUAAUCUAUUAGUUCAUCAGAAUGCAUACGUGACUACUCUCUUUGAUUUCCUUUUUCCCUUUUCUGCUUGAUAUUUUUCUACGUGAUUAAAAAUAUUUGUCUUUUUGCUGGGUGUUUUACUAUGCUGAUUAAUGGUACGUACUUCAGUGUUGAGGCUCAUGAGGCUGAGCUUAUGAAGCUCAAUCAACGAGUACGUGAAGCACAAGAGAAAAUAAGGUAUUAUGAACCACAAGUGGAGAAUAUCAGCUCAGUCCAAGAAGCUGAUGCAUACCAGAAGUUCCUUACGAGUGCUAUGGAACAGAUACAGCGAUCACAAGAAAGACUCUUGGGCUGCGAAGGAUUUGUCCAGGGAAUUGAAAAUGUCGUGGUGGCUUCUGUCAACACAGUGGAUACGACUUAUGCUGCAGGAACCAGUACGGGUUACAUGUUGUGAGGAUACAGACUGGAUCACGACCGAGCAUUAGCUUCUGGGGUCGAACAGUUGCAGCAGGAACUAUAAUAUACUAGUCCUUGCGUUAAGAACUUCGUAGAAAGAUAUGCCUCCAAGAGAAUUUAAUGUUCAAGUUAGCACCACUGUCCUAACUGGGGAUAAUGUACUUCUGAAGUCCAGACUCGGUCAAGGGUCGUUGCAUUUGACUAUCCUCAUAGGGUUUCACCUGUCCCCACUAAUCCUACUUUUGAGAGUGAUACUCAUACUCACUCAUCUCAAGGGGAGGCGACUAAUUCUGAGUUUCGUCACUCCAUUACUCUGUUGACCUAGUUGGUUGCUUCUCAGUUCGAGCGUGGUGUUCCUAUCACUUUAUUUUUUGAGGCCAUAAGAAUUGGCCAGUUCAUGAGAUUGCAUCCUCCUAUGUUUACGGGUACUAAGGUUGAGGAGGAUCCUCGAGAUUUUAUUGAUGAAAUGGAGAAGAUUCUCUGUAUUAUGCAUGCUUCAUAGGUUUAAAGUGUUGAGUUUGCUGCCUAUCAAUUGAAAGAUGUGGCGUACCAGUGGUAUGAAGAGUGGGAAAAAUCGAGGGGUGAAGAUGCUAGUUUCUUCUUGUGGGAGGAUUUUUGUAGUGCUUUUUUGGACCGCUUCUUUUCUCAGGAGUUAAGGAAAAAAAAGUGGAAGAGAUUAAGAAUUUGAGGCAGGGUAGGAUGUCUGUUAAGGAGUAUGCAUUGAAAUUUCAUUAGUUGUCUAGGUAUGCUUCUGAGUUGGUUUCUAGCAUGAGGGCUAGAAUGCGUAAGUCUGUUAGGAGUUGUCUCGUGAGUUGAUCCUCAAUAUUAAGGCUUCUUUGUUGAUAAAAUACAUGGACAUCUCAAGAUUGGUUGUGUACAUGUAACAAGUGGAGGAAGAAAAGAAGAAAUAGGUUGAGUUUAGUGUGAGGCAAGGAAAAAAAUUUAGGCCUUCAAAGAAAGGUGGUAAAAAUGGUGGUAAGUGGCCAAAGAAGAAGUGAGGGAGUUCUAGUUCUUUCUCUAUGGCUAGUGCUCCUUACUCAAAGUCGUCGGGUGAUCGUCGGUCUCAGUAUCAUGGUGGUUCUAGGAACAAGGUGCCUAAUCUCAGGCUAGUGAGGCUCAGUCGGCUCCAUCCCACCCUUCUUAUAGAUUUUAUGGGCGGUCUCACCGUGGUAUAUAUUCGGAAGGGAAGAAACAAGUAUUUUUAUCAUGGUCAGAUUGGUCAUAUACAGUGUGACUAUCGUGUUUGGAUGACUUCUAGGGCAAACAAGGUUUCGGUUGCCUCUUCAUCUGCUCCUGCACCAAAUGGUGCCAUUUUUGCAUCUUCUUCUUCUUCUGGUACCAACACUGGCCGUGAUUAUAUGCUCUUGCAUCUCUCUAUGAUUCUGAGGCAUCUCCCGAUGUAGUGACUGUUAUAUUAAAACUUUUUUCCUAUGAUGUGUAUUAUUCACUUGAUCUAGGGUCCACUCUUUCUUAUGUGACCCCAUUUGUGGCCGUGUAUUUUGGUUUUGGUCCUGAGUGUCUCUCAGUUUUUUUUUCUGUUUCUACCCUGGUAAGAGACUGUAUAGUUGUUAAAAAAGUCUAUAAGGGGUGUGUGGUAGCUGUUGGUAGUAGAGAAAC
RNA transcript from Capsicum annuum, 2895 nucleotides. It is a transcript of the gene named agamous-like MADS-box protein AGL104, with no coding region annotated. NCBI's taxonomy places the organism in Eukaryota, Viridiplantae, Streptophyta, Magnoliopsida, Solanales, Solanaceae. The transcript is spliced from 10 exons. The record is from RefSeq and is a predicted model, not a curated record.